RNAcentral lists this ribosomal RNA (274 nucleotides) under uncultured bacterium. RNAcentral's name for it is "partial 16S ribosomal RNA". It matches the Rfam family "Bacterial small subunit ribosomal RNA", at positions 523 to 796 of the family's 1533-position model. The record is from RNAcentral.
AUACGGAGGGUGCAAGCGUUAAUCGGAAUUACUGGGCGUAAAGCGCGCGUAGGCGGUUUGAUAAGUCGGAUGUGAAAUCCCCGGGCUCAACCUGGGAAUUGCAUUCGAUACUGUCAGGCUCGAGUGUGGUAGAGGGAAGUGGAAUUUCCGGUGUAGCGGUGAAAUGCGUAGAUAUCGGAAGGAACACCAGUGGCGAAGGCGGCUUCCUGGACCAACACUGACGCUGAGGUGCGAAAGCGUGGGGAGCAAACAGGAUUAGAUACCCUAGUAGUCC